RNAcentral lists this non-coding RNA (29 nucleotides) under Cricetulus griseus (Chinese hamster). Lineage: Eukaryota; Metazoa; Chordata; Mammalia; Rodentia; Cricetidae. The record is from RNAcentral.
AAAACUGGAAUUCCUACUAAGAAGAGACU